UACGAAGGGGGCUAGCGUUGCUCGGAAUCACUGGGCGUAAAGCGCACGUAGGCGGAUUGUUAAGUCAGGGGUGAAAUCCUGGAGCUCAACUCCAGAACUGCCUUUGAUACUGGCGAUCUUGAGUCCGGGAGAGGUGAGUGGAACUCCCGGUGUAGUGGUGAAAUGCGUAGAGAUCGGGAAGAACACCUGUGGCGAAGGCGGCUCACUGGCCCGGUACUGACGCUGAGGUGCGAAAGCGUGGGGAGCAAACAGG
RNAcentral lists this ribosomal RNA (253 nucleotides) under uncultured bacterium. RNAcentral's name for it is "partial 16S ribosomal RNA". It matches the Rfam family "Bacterial small subunit ribosomal RNA", at positions 524 to 776 of the family's 1533-position model. The record is from RNAcentral.